AUUAUCAGCAUCAGAGGCAGCAGUUUAUUGAGCAUUUUGAUCUAAUUUGAAAAAUUGUAAGCUGAAUUUCUGGACUCUCUCUCAACAGCUCUGAGCUAGGGCUACGUUUGAAAUGAUCCAAGCCUUGUGACUGGCCCCUCCAUGAUGACUUCGACAUGGUUUUCAUGCUGAUUGAACACGUUAAUUGUUGGCUCUGUGGAGUGGAUCUCUGGUGGACAGUGGCAGUACGACUUGUCGCGUGUGUUUUCUGCUUGGUUACCUGCCCAGGGGCGUAGUUCUUGGCGGGGAUUGAGCGCAAGAUCAAGUUACGUCUUUAUCGUACUAGCCCCUCGACAGCUGCACGCGACUCUGUGGUAGCGAUGGGUUCCACUUUGAUAAGCGCACCCAUAAAUCCACCAACAAAACGUAAACUAGAUCAUCGACUGUCUAUUGAAAAUGGAAUUCUAACCCAAAGCUAACAAAUAGAUGAUACGACAAGAACCAUAAGAACUAUUCUCUCCACAAGUACUCGUUGGAGCAAAAGUUCCGAGUGGCUAGGGCCAUCACAUCCAUGAAAAUUUUUAAAAAAUAAUGAUCAGUUUUAGGA
Molecule: long non-coding RNA, 586 nt
Organism: Drosophila subobscura
Lineage: Eukaryota; Metazoa; Arthropoda; Insecta; Diptera; Drosophilidae
Exons: 3
Source: RefSeq, a predicted model, not a curated record